CCAUAUCUAAACUGAUAGUUCAAACUCUUGAGUCAACCUACUAGACCCUAAGUACUCUACCUUCACUUGUUGACACACCAUGCACUUAGCCAUAAAUUGGCCACAUCCCAUUUCAUAUUAUUCCACUAAUAAAUCUCCUUAAGAAUACCUUUUCAUCGAACCAAGAUGAAUAGUAUAAUGUGAAUUAUGAGCUUUGACCAAAAUUUUCUUCGCAAUCUAUCAACAUCGGAAAUACAUAAUCUACCUUGGUACCUCAAGAUACCAUGACCACCAAUUUCAAAAUCAUCACCUUCUG
RNAcentral lists this long non-coding RNA (295 nucleotides) under Capsicum annuum. Its description in RNAcentral is "long non-coding RNA (CANN_LNC005072)". Lineage: Eukaryota; Viridiplantae; Streptophyta; Magnoliopsida; Solanales; Solanaceae. The record is from RNAcentral.